AUCACUUCUUCUCGUACAGUCGCGGUGAGCGCGAGUAAGUCCGAGCGAGCCGUAUAAGAGUUACAGCGCGUACCCAUUAGUAUCGUAAUACGAAUUUUCAACGGUUUUCCGAGUAAAUCGCUACAUUGUAAGAAGGAAGGAAGCCUAGCUCGAACCAUUCGAAUUACGAUUAGUUACACAAAAGAAAAUGAUUGAUCACCGAGGUCAUUUUUACUCAACUGUGAAGAGAGCAACGCGAGAGUUUCAAGUGGGUCCUUGCGGCAGCAAGGAAGGACACCGACUGAAAGGAAGGCUUGCAACAGAUGCAUAGUACUGUUGGUCAUCGGGGCAUGACAUCGGGGCAGAUAACAGCGGUGGAAGUUUGUUGGGAAGUUCCUACGUCCUUCGAGAGCCAUAUAAUCGACGCUGGAAAGAUCUACAAGCGAUCAAGGCAACGCGAAAACGAGAAAAUCAAGUUCCCAUCGCGUGCGCGAAUUCUCAACGUGUUUUAUCAACCUCGUUAACAGCGAUCGGGAAACGGCGGCGGGCUCUUGGACGAGUUCACGGACGAAAGCAGUGUUUAUUGUUGAAUAUGCAGGUGAAAAUGUAUGCGGAGUUCGUUGUAAAUACAAUGUUCCGUGGUGCGGAAUUUGUUCGUUGAGAACCCGCGAGCUCGUAACGAACAAAUACUAAAAACGGCUUCUUAAUAAAAUUGUUAAAUUUAUUUUCCCCGAUAGUUUCAUUUUAUGGAUUCCAUUGUAAUCGAACCAUUAUUCUAAAAUUUUUAUUUCGAAAGUCUCAAAAGUUAUUGGAUUUGCAACUAAUAUUCCAUAUUCAUAUACACGGAACCAUUUUUUUUUUCAAAUACAUAAACGAUUUCCAUUUAUAAAGUUAUGCUCAAAUGUAUCAAAAUUAUCUAAUCGUCUAAAGUUAAACAAAAACAGUUUUAAUAAUAUGCAGUCCAAAAAUAAAUAGUAAUGUUAGUAAUACUAUAUGUAGGUUAUAUAUAAUACUAUAUAUGUAUACGUUAGUAAUAAUACGUAUCAAUUAUAAAUGAAUGCUCCCAUAAUCUUACUUUUUCAUAAAAAGACAAACAUUAAUUAAUUGUUUAUCCCAUCUUUGUUGCAUGCAUUUUAUUAACGUCGACAAUUAUUCAAUAUCACCUGGAAGAUUCAUAUUCUAGAAUUCAUAUUCAUAUUUUAGGUUGCUUUUUAAAAUAAAAAUAUCAAAAUAAUGACUCGAUAGAAAUUGAUUACAUAGUAAGGAAUCGAAGAUUGCUUUAUUUCGAAUCUUUCUAUUUUCUGUUUGUAAGCUUUAUUAGUUUUAUUAAAAAAGAAAAAAAAAAAUUCAAUAACUUUAUAAUCGCAUUUGUUCGUGUCACAAAUUUUGGAGUGCAUUUCGGACACCCGGUACGUUUAUACCUGUACUACAGGUGCCGCCCUUUUCCGGACUGUUUUUCUCCUAGUCUGUCACAGGAAGAAGGGUGGACAAGACCCUCGUAACGGAAAGUUUCAGGCUGCACGCGUAAUUGAAUGCAGAAUUUGAAAAGGACGGAAGACGAAAGAUUAUGGGAACGUGCUGUCGGGUUCUUCGCGAUCCAUAAAUAUAAAUAUAUUCCAGCAAUUUUAUCGACUGGACGUCGCGUGAAUGAUGUCGUCGAUAAAACUGUCAGCUACAGAUCUAUCACUAACCCAUUCGCUAUCAAUUUAUUUUAGUUUCAAAAUCCCUGUUUAUUGCCUGCAAAAGUUGCAGGAUAUUCAAAUAAAUUUUUGUAACGGUACGGAAUUUUUGGUCGAAUGUCUUAUAAAUACACAGACAGAUAAUUGAGAAGGAAUUCUAAUUAGAAAAAUCUUUCGUUUACAUUCCGGACACUUUAAAUAUAUACAGUGGGUGGAGAAAGUACAGAAAGUAUGUGCUUAUUCGUACACCGAUCAAUUUCCAAAAAUACUAUGUGAAACUGUAAUUUAUUAACAUUUUUUUUUUUAUAAACAACGAUUUUCUACAUAUUCUUGAAAAUGUCUAGAAUAAGUACAGUACAAAAACAAAUUAGUUAUUUAUACAGGUUGCGAAAUUAAGAAGAAAAAAUAAUAAAUCGAUAGAAAUAUAGAAGCAAUAAGUAUUCGUACGAUUGUUGAAUUUUUAAAACUUCAUGAAAAAAAAAGAAAGAAAUUUACAUUAAUUUGUAAACGAUAUGAAUACUUCGUGGAAUUUUCCUUUUAAUUUUGGGAGUAACUUACAUACGGAAAUUUUGUAUACUUUUCAUGAACUGUAUAUGUGUAAUUUUUAAUGGCUUAGCAUUUAUCAAAACAAUGUAGGAAUUAAAAUAACUAUGAUAUUGAACAAUUAAAACGUAUACUUUGCGAGUUAGCUUUAGAAACGUAUACGUUAUUUCCAACGAUGACCGUAAUUCAAGUUGUAAUGUACUCGGUUCUUAAAUCGCUGCGUACUUUUUGAGUGUAUGUUCGAACCCCUGAUUGUUAUUUUUUUUUCGUUAAUCAUAUAUCUUUUAAUUAUUAACGAUAUUGAUUUCCAAGUUACUUAUCUUUAAUUUUGUAGUGGAAAUACAGUAGACAUUGUGUAGGAUAUCCAUAAUGUGCAUCGCUGUUCUUGUUGAUUACAGCUUUCACUUGUUUAAAUAAUAGUGUAUGUAUGUAUGUAUGUAUUUGCAAGAGUUUUGCAUGACCCCACUUCCGUUUAUAAAUUCCUUACACCUUAUUCUUAUUCCAACCUUAAAUUACCUUUAUCGUACCCGUUUAAAUAAUAGCGAAAUAAUAACAUAACGCAGGAUAAUAUAUUAGGUUGUCCCAAAAGUGUCUUUCACUUUAUUAAUAAGUAAUACAUGGACAAUAUUUUAUGUUUUAUGUUACAUUACUGAAUUGUGCACGAUUCAUUUUGCUCUAUUACUGUUACAACAUGAAUAUCUAUGAAAUUAGAUUGUCUAUUUAUAUAAACACGACCACAUAAAAUAAUUGAGUGCAACUCGCGAAAGAAACUUUCGGGACAACCUAAUAGAAGGACGGCUUAAAUUAUACAAAGAAAGAAUGUUAUGUUUGCUUUUCAUAACCUAAUAGUAUAAGUAGUGUAGGAUAGAUAGUACAACUGGUUUGAGGUAAGGCGUGCGAAACAGAAUAAAUUGUAAGUUGAAAUGUGGUGUUUGAAUUAUGAUAUGUUUGCCGCGUGCCGUAAGAGAGCGUCAUCUUAUGUGUUCCGUACAAUUUUACACAUCCUGUGUCGGAUGGUUUAGCGACAAUUGCUCGAAAUCGCUCGAAGCGAUCAGUUAUGUUAUAUUCACAAUAAAGGAAUAUUAAUUACUUUGAGAAUUAUGUUACUUACUUAAUUUUUGGUUUGUAUUGGUCUCACGAUAAUACUAAUCUUAGAAAUAUAUUAUUAAUAUUUAUUUAUUAAAUCAUACAAUUUAGAAUGUAUCCAUAACAUAAGGGAAAA
Molecule: long non-coding RNA, 3423 nt
Organism: Hylaeus volcanicus
Lineage: Eukaryota; Metazoa; Arthropoda; Insecta; Hymenoptera; Colletidae
Exons: 5
Source: RefSeq, a predicted model, not a curated record